GCCUCGUCAGCAGUCAGUGGUCAGGGUUUUAGUCUGUUCCACAUUAAUACAUUCCUUAUUUGAUGAUAAAAAAAAAAUAGCCUGGAUAAACUACAAGUUUUAUCUUGCAAGGCACAGAGGCCUCAGUCUUGCUUGAAGUAACUAUGUUCAGCUUUAAUAAGCAGCUUUGGAUUGCUCGCUACCAUGUACAAAUUAUUUUUAACCUGUGUGUUUAAUAUAUUCUUUAUGGCCAUGUAGUUGUUUCUUUAUAUCUGCAGUUCUACUCGGAGUAAUUACCAAGCAAAUGAAAUAAGGACAUCAUGCAUAUCCAGUAUGGAUGCAUUCACCAGAGACAAAGCUCCACGUCAGACAAUUUUUUCAACAAUCUAAGGUUGCCAUGACGGGUAUCCCCUUUUGGUAAUGGCCAGAAGGAGGGUUGAUGUGGAGCUCUACCCACCAACACCUCCCAGCAAACACUUCACUUCGGCAAGUGUGGCAAGAUAGAGCUAAAACUGGGCAGCACCGAGUGAACUUGGCUAUAUGGCAGUCUCUUUAUUCAAAAGUAUCUACUGUCAAACAAGGAAGGAAUCAGUGAUUUGUCCAGAAGGGAUCAGCAGGCAUAGCUCAAAAGAGACAUCACCCAGAGGUUGUGUGGAGUAAUGGCUGCAACUGUAGUUUCCAGUUACUCUUCAGUUCUUCUAAGAUGAAUAUGAUAGUGCAAUAGUCAAGAAUAUUGAUGACCCUGCAGAAGUUAACAAACAAAUACAACUAGACAUCCAAGGAAAUGUAAUGUCUGUCAGUUAUGCUGUGGGGCACUUGACACAUGACACUAUAAUUUAAUUUUGACACCCAAGGAGGGGCAGCUCUUGACUGGUGCUGAUAGUCUUAUACACUGCUCACUUCAGAUGACCCUAUAGAAAAUAACUGGGAGAUGCAAGGUCUACCAGUCUUAGAGGCCAAAGAUUAUGAGUGUGUCAUCCAGAAACUUCAGCAGGAAGGCCAUAGUUUAGGAAAACACCAUUUUACUUCAGGUUAAAAGUAAGCUUCAGUGUCAUGUCAUUCUUCAAAUAAAACUGGCCUUUUUGUAAGAUGAGGUGGUUAACAGGGAAAAUGCACUUAGAACCACAAAAUAUGUUUUACAGUAUAUGAUAUGUGAUUAUUAUAGCCUUUCAUUUUUAUUACCAAGGUUCUAAAAUAAUAUUUCCAAUCUGAUGUUUGCUACACAUUUAGCAAAAGCCUAGUUGUUCUAUGCCAGGUUAAUCCUUAAUGCAUAAAAUUGUUAAGCAGAUUAGUAUUUUCCAAUAUAAUUAUGAAUUUCACCAGAUAUGUUAUUGCUUUUGAACAGGAAUAUUACUCAUUAGGUGCAACUAAUUUUCCUGUUCCUUCCUAAGAUUGCAAAUUAGAUGCAAUUCUAUGCCAGCUGCUGUUUGCUCUGCCACCUGGACUACCUGACCAUAUAGAAUUGCCUUGUCCUUUAUGUCAGCUAUCCAUUUACAUCCUGCCAUGUGACACACCUGUCAGGUGUCUGGAAAUGCAAUAGAAAAUGCACUUAAUCAAAAAAGUAAGUUUUACAGUAUAUAACUAUAAUUGUAGUACCUUUUUCUUUUUGGUGUGCUAAACUUGCUGUUAAAUAUUUCAAGUCUUAUGUCUAUUGCAAAAGUAAUUAAUGUGAAAACAAGUAGAAUAGGAAUGGCCUAAGUAUUUCAUUCCAGAAUUCUUUCAUUAUCUGAAUGCAAGAAUUUGUUGAGGUAAUUUGUGCAGGUAAUACCUGCAGUUUCUGCUGGUAUUACCUGCAAAACAUAACUGAUAUUUCUGUUUCUACCUGUGAUUGACAGUUGAAUAAAUAGCAUUUAUAAUGUG
This is a long non-coding RNA of Penaeus monodon (black tiger shrimp), 1839 nucleotides long. RefSeq lists it as uncharacterized. The record is from RefSeq and is a predicted model, not a curated record. The transcript is spliced from 4 exons. NCBI's taxonomy places the organism in Eukaryota, Metazoa, Arthropoda, Malacostraca, Decapoda, Penaeidae.